CUUUCUGAAACAGGCUUAACAUAUGUUCUUACUAAUCUGUUUUUCUUGAAGUGAUUUAAAGGCAAGGCACUGCCAAGCACAGUGGAAUAGAAGAUUUGCUCUCGUGGGUGACGGACCGUCAGGAAGAACAAGCUCUUCUCACAAUAUCUGGGACACCGGCUCAUUGUGGCUUCCAUGAAUACAGGGGAAAUUCCUGGCAUGUUCCAGGACCAAGAAAUGUGAAGGCCCCUCAGUGACUGAAAAUUGGACUGAACCUUUCUUGAAGAGUUAUCUCACCAACUUGGAGGAAACUGAAUACCUACAGGACACAGGCAUAAAGCAGAGACAAAUCCGAGUGGUUAAUCUCUCUUCCCCCCCUUUCCCAGCCUCGGGGGCUGGGGGGCGACGGAGGAGGGAGCAAGCACCAGCCCAGAGCCGGGCCAGGCCUCCCCGGGGAGGGGCUGAGGCAGCGGCUGGGCUGCGGGAGCUGCAUGGAGGAGGGGAGUUUCACAGACUCCUCUGCCCGGCCGGGAGGAGAAGGAGGAGGAGGAAGUUUGGAGAUUAAGCCGCUGCCCGGAGCUCGAGCGCACGGAGUGAGCCGAGGCGCGGCCACGGGCGCUGCGAGGGGGA
RNAcentral lists this long non-coding RNA (609 nucleotides) under Corvus moneduloides (New Caledonian crow). Its description in RNAcentral is "lncRNA (ENSCMUG00000016937.1)". The record is from RNAcentral. Lineage: Eukaryota; Metazoa; Chordata; Aves; Passeriformes; Corvidae.